Molecule: ribosomal RNA, 466 nt
Filed under: uncultured Desulfobulbus sp.
Lineage: Bacteria; Pseudomonadati; Thermodesulfobacteriota; Desulfobulbia; Desulfobulbales; Desulfobulbaceae
Description: bacterial SSU rRNA
Rfam family: Bacterial small subunit ribosomal RNA
Source: RNAcentral
ACAAGCGGUGGAGUAUGUGGUUUAAUUCGAUGCAACGCGAAGAACCUUACCUGGUCUUGACAUCCCGGAAGACCCUUAGGAAACUAAGGGGGUGGCUUCCAUCUGGAAGAAUCUGGAGACAGGUGCUGCAUGGCUGUCGUCAGCUCGUGUCGUGAGAUGUUGGGUUAAGUCCCGCAACGAGCGCAACCCUUGCCUUUAGUUGCCAGCAGUUCGGCUGGGCACUCUAAAGGGACUGCCGGUGUUAAACCGGAGGAAGGUGGGGAUGACGUCAAGUCCUCAUGGCCUUUAUGACCAGGGCUACACACGUACUACAAUGGCCGAUACAAAGGGCAGCGACACUGCGAGGUGAAGCCAAUCCCGUAAAAUCGGUCUCAGUCCGGAUUGGAGUCUGCAACUCGACUCCAUGAAGUUGGAAUCGCUAGUAAUCGUGGAUCAGCAUGCCACGGUGAAUACGUUCCCGGGCCUU